This 73-nucleotide transfer RNA is filed under the name Camelus bactrianus (Bactrian camel). It matches the Rfam family "tRNA". Rfam says of the family: Transfer RNA (tRNA) molecules are approximately 80 nucleotides in length. Their secondary structure includes four short double-helical elements and three loops (D, anti-codon, and T loops). The record is from Rfam by way of RNAcentral. RNAcentral also lists the same sequence under 1 other name. Lineage: Eukaryota; Metazoa; Chordata; Mammalia; Artiodactyla; Camelidae.
GAGGGUAUAGCUCAAGUGGUAGAGCGCGUGCUUAGCAUGCAUGAGGUCCUGGGUUCAAUCGCCAGUAUCUCCU